UACAGGGGGUGCAAACGUUGCUCGGAAUCAUUGGGCGUAAAGCGCACGUAGGCGGUCUGUUAUGUCGGAUGUGAAAGCCCUUGGCUCAACUGAGGAAGUGCAUCCGAAACUGGCAGGCUAGAGUACUAAAGAGGAUCGCGGAAUUCCCGGUGUAGAGGUGAAAUUCGUAGAUAUCGGGAGGAACACCGGUGGCGAAGGCAGCGAUCUGGGUAGAUACUGACGCUGAGGUGCGAAAGCGUGGGGAGCAAACAGG
Molecule: ribosomal RNA, 253 nt
Filed under: uncultured bacterium
Lineage: Bacteria
Description: partial 16S ribosomal RNA
Rfam family: Bacterial small subunit ribosomal RNA
Source: RNAcentral